This 675-nucleotide unclassified non-coding RNA is filed under the name Synechocystis sp. IPPAS B-1207. RNAcentral's name for it is "partial contains 16S ribosomal RNA, 16S-23S ribosomal RNA intergenic spacer, and 23S ribosomal RNA". The stretch from base 1 to 155 matches the Rfam family "Bacterial small subunit ribosomal RNA", at positions 1381 to 1533 of the family's 1533-position model. Lineage: Bacteria; Bacillati; Cyanobacteriota; Cyanophyceae; Synechococcales; Merismopediaceae. The record is from RNAcentral.
UUGUACACACCGCCCGUCACACCAUGGGAGCUGGUCACGCCCGAAGUCGUUACUCUAACCGUUCGCGGAGGAGGGCGCCGAAGGCAGGGCUAGUGACUGGGGUGAAGUCGUAACAAGGUAGCCGUACCGGAAGGUGUGGCUGGAUCACCUCCUUUAAGGGAGACCUUUACCCCUUCAUGCCGAAAGCAAAAUGCAAAUAGGUAGAAGUUGGUCAACCAAAAGGUCGAGCAAGGGAUUAGCCGAAAGGUUAAAGAGUGGAAGUCUUUCAAACUAUUGCCUAGGCAAGGAAAAGGCAAGGGCUAUUAGCUCAGCUGGUUAGAGCGCACCCCUGAUAAGGGUGAGGUCUCUGGUUCGAGUCCAGAAUGGCCCACCUAACCAUCCAGCUAUGUGUUUCUUAACGCCGAUGACAGGAAGUAUUCAGCAUCCUAUCUGAAAUUGGUCAGAGGGAAUGCUGGAUGAGAAUCCAGUAAGAACCUUGAAAACUGCAUAAAGAAAAGAGAAAGCAGGGAAAGUCUGAAUCCCUCUUCAUUAAAAGGUUGAACACAAAGCCAUUGGCUGAAUGGGAGAUCAAAUUAUGAGGAACAAAGGGACAAAGAUAAUCCUAAUUAGCAAGAAAAAGAUCUUAAAAAGGUCAAGCUACAAAGGGCUAACGGUGGAUACCUAGGCACACAGAGA